Long non-coding RNA from Orbicella faveolata, 357 nucleotides. NCBI's taxonomy places the organism in Eukaryota, Metazoa, Cnidaria, Anthozoa, Scleractinia, Merulinidae. The record is from RefSeq and is a predicted model, not a curated record.
CGUUCUUCACGCGGCUUUCUCUUUUCGGCAGUUUUCAUCAUGGGCCACUCAAACGUUUGGUUUUCUCACCCAAGAACUUACGGACCAGGCUCAAGAUCCUGCCGUGUUUGCUUCAACCAUCAUGGCCUUAUCAGAAAAUAUGGACUGAACAUUUGUAGACGAUGCUUUAGGCAGUAUGCCAAAGACAUUGGCUUUCAGAAGUUCCAUUAGUCAAGAGUGUACUGAGGUCAAAGCAACAAUGCAGAAUGAGAAGAAAUGGGUGUUAAAAUUCCAAAAUAAUGAUGGAAUAAUUUUUGCAACAACUAACUGUAACAUCUUUCUGAAUGUUGUAUUAAAGCAUUGUUGAUAUUUAUCACA